AGAGUUUGAUCCUGGCUCAGGAUGAACGCUGGCGGCGUGCUUAACACAUGCAAGUCGAACGAAGCAAUAGGAAGGAAGUUUUCGGAUGGAAUUCAUAUUGACUGAGUGGCGGACGGGUGAGUAACGCGUGGGUAACCUGCCUCAUACAGGGGGAUAACAGUUAGAAAUGACUGCUAAUACCGCAUAAGCGCACAGAAUCGCAUGAUAAUGUGUGAAAAACUCCGGUGGUAUGAGAUGGACCCGCGUCUGAUUAGCUAGUUGGUGGGGUAAAGGCCUACCAAGGCGACGAUCAGUAGCCGACCUGAGAGGGUGAUCGGCCACAUUGGGACUGAGACACGGCCCAAACUCCUACGGGAGGCAGCAGUGGGGAAUAUUGCACAAUGGGGGAAACCCUGAUGCAGCAACGCCGCGUGAGUGAAGAAGUAUUUCGAUAUGUAAAGCUCUAUCAGCAGGGAAGAAGAUGACGGUACCUGAGUAAGAAGCCCCGGCUAACUACGUGCCAGCAGCCGCGGUAAUACGUAGGGGGCAAGCGUUAUCCGGAUUUACUGGGUGUAAAGGGAGCGUAGACGGCAUAGCAAGUCUGAAGUGAAAGCCCAAGGCUCAACCAUGGGACUGCUUUGGAAACUGUUAAGCUAGAGUGCUGGAGAGGUAAGCGGAAUUCCUAGUGUAGCGGUGGAAUGCGUAGAUAUUAGGAAGAACACCAGUGGCGAAGGCGGCUUACUGGACAGUAACUGACGUUGAGGCUCGAAAGCGUGGGGAGCAAACAGGAUUAGAUACCCUGGUAGUCCACGCCGUAAACGAUG
Molecule: ribosomal RNA, 803 nt
Filed under: uncultured bacterium
Lineage: Bacteria
Description: bacterial SSU rRNA
Rfam family: Bacterial small subunit ribosomal RNA
Source: RNAcentral